CCUACGACGGGUAGCUGGUCUGAGAGGACGGUCAGCCACAUUGGGACUGAGACACGGCCCAGACUCGUACGGGAGGCGGCACGCGGGAAUAUNCGGCAAUGNGCGAGAGCGUGACCGAGCGACACCGCGUGAGCGACGAAGGCCUUCGAGUCGUAGAGCUCUUUUAUUUGGGAAGAAUGCAUAGUAAUAUGUUUGACGGUACCAUUUGAAUAAGCACGAGCUAACUACGUGACAGCAGCUGAGGUAAUACGUAGGGGGCAAGAGUAAUCCGGAAUCACAUGGGCGUAAAGGGUCCGCAGGUGUCCCGUUAAGUUAGAUGUUAAAUCGCAAGGCUCACCUUUGCGGCUGCAUCUUAUACUGACAGGAUAGAGGAUAGGUGACGGAAGUGGAAUUCCGGGUGGAGAGGUAAAAUCCGUAGAUAUCAGGAGGAACACCCGUUGCGUAGGCGGCUUCCGAACCUAUUCCUUGACACUCAGGGUCGAAAGCUAGGGGAGCAAACAGGAUUAGAUACCCUGGGUAGUACUAGCUGUAAACGAUGAAUACUAGAUAGUGGGUGCUACNCCGUACUCACCGUCGUAGCUUACGCGUAAAGUAUUUCGCACUGGGAACUACGAUCGCAAGUGUGAAACUCAAAGGAAUUGACGGGUCCCAGCACAAGCAGCGAGGCAUGUGGCUUAAUUCGAUGCAACACGAAGAACCUUACCUGGACUUGACAUGUUUCUGAAAGGCACGGAGAAACCCGGUCCCUUCCAGUUUACUGGAACAGUUUCACAGGUGGUGCAUGGUUGUCGUCAGCUCGUGUCGUGAGAUGUAAGGUUAAGUCCUUAAACGAGCGUAACCUUUGUCAUUAGUUGCCACCGGUUCGACCGAGCACUCUAAUGAGGCCGCUAGCGACAAGCUAGAGGAAGAUGGAGAUGACGUCAAAUCCUCACGUCCCUUAUGUCCAGGGCCGCACACAUGCGACAAUGGUAGAGACAGCGGGUUGCGACGGGGUACCCUGAGCUAAUCCAUAAACUCUGCCUCAGUACAGAUCGAGGGCUGAAAUUCGACCUCGUGAAGAUGGAGUUGCUAG
Molecule: ribosomal RNA, 1072 nt
Filed under: uncultured organism
Description: bacterial SSU rRNA
Rfam family: Bacterial small subunit ribosomal RNA
Source: RNAcentral